This 1213-nucleotide long non-coding RNA is filed under the name Marmota monax (woodchuck). Lineage: Eukaryota; Metazoa; Chordata; Mammalia; Rodentia; Sciuridae. The record is from RNAcentral.
UUCUUUCUUUUUUUUUUUUCUUUUUGAAGGGGGUUAGUUGGUUGUUGUUGCUGUUUGUGUUCUUUAUUUACUUAGGACUUGAUUUCCUCUUUCCAAGAUAAUAGCACUGAAUAUUGACCAGGCAUUUCUGGUCAUGUCCUACAUAACCUAUACAAAAUCAGAACAACAAUGCCAUCAUCUGGCUCAGGUCACACUCCUAUAAUCUCAGUGACUUGGGAAGCUGAGUCACAAGUUUCACAAGUUCAAGGCCAGCCUUAUCAACUUAGUGAACUCUGUCUCAAAAUGAAAAAUAAAAAAGCACUGGGUAUAUAGCUCAGUGGUGUGGUGUACCAGAUUCAAUCCAAAAACAAAGCCUAUCAAAAUUUGAUGGGCUGUUUUUAUUUAUUGAUUUUUAAAUAAAUUGUUUUUACGUAAAAGUUACAUACAUGCUUAUUCAAAGAACUUGAAAAAAUAGCCAGACACAGUGGCACGCACCCAUAAUCCCAGUGACACAGGAAGAUUGCAAGUUCAAGGCCAGCCUCAGUAACUGAGCUAGCGAGACCUGUCUCAAAAAAUAAAGUCCCCAGUACCCUCCUUUAAAAAAAAAGAAAAAUACAAAAAAAAAAAAAAAUAGAAAACUACUGCAGUCUGGCUGGGCACAAUUCAGGAGCCACUUGUCAAGCAGAAAUGAACUUUAUUUUUAGAACGCACACACCACACCAAACUAGCUCUUCAGGAAUUCCCUCAGAGCCCAACUGCCACCACCCGCUUCCAGCGAGCCACUCAACCCCCACUCCUCCCACUCUUGAGGCCGAUUGGCUGGGUCACAUGGGCGGAGCCAAAAGAGGCCCCCAAUGAGCAGCUCCGUGGUCUGAAAGGGCAGGGAAACAGCCCAGUGAGCAUCACUCAGAGGAGCAAAUCAGCUGGCAGCUGGAAGUUUGCUGGGGCUGCUGUGAGCCAAUCAGCUGGAAGUUUGCUGGGGCCACUUCGGCUGUGGCUCUCAACAGAAAACUGAUAAUUAUUUUCAUUCAUUCUUAGCAUUUUUUGUAUUACUAGUGCUUAUCGGGUUGUUUUUUUCAAGGAUCAGUUACAAGCCAACAUUAGGGACAGUUGACUAUAGGAGUAUCUGUCUUCAAAUUCUAAUUUUAUUUCUAAAUUUUUCUAGUGGUCUUAACUAUAUUAAACCAGUAUCAUCUUGAGUUUCUGGUCUUAUAGGAAAGGUGUUUUUUAGAAU